CAGCAGCAGCCGCGGUAAUACAGAGGGUGCGAGCGUUAAUCGGAUUUACUGGGCGUAAAGCGUGCGUAGGCGGCUUCUUAAGUCGGAUGUGAAAUCCCUGAGCUUAACUUAGGAAUUGCAUUCGAUACUGGGAAGCUAGAGUAUGGGAGAGGAUGGUAGAAUUCCAGGUGUAGCGGUGAAAUGCGUAGAGAUCUGGAGGAAUACCGAUGGCGAAGGCAGCCAUCUGGCCUAAUACUGACGCUGAGGUACGAAAGCAUGGGGAGCAAACAGGAUUAGAUACCCGAGUAGUCCCUGUCUCUUAUAC
Molecule: ribosomal RNA, 304 nt
Filed under: uncultured bacterium
Lineage: Bacteria
Description: partial 16S ribosomal RNA
Rfam family: Bacterial small subunit ribosomal RNA
Source: RNAcentral